Ricinus communis (castor bean) is the source of this 1385-nucleotide long non-coding RNA. RefSeq lists it as uncharacterized. Lineage: Eukaryota; Viridiplantae; Streptophyta; Magnoliopsida; Malpighiales; Euphorbiaceae. The transcript has 2 exons. The record is from RefSeq and is a predicted model, not a curated record.
AACUUUCCUUUCGCUUUUCCUUUACAAACUUUUGGUGCUGUUUUGUUAUAUUAGAUGCUAUUUUCUUUCUUUUUCUUCUUAGAUUUUCUUGCGAUUGAAUUAAUUUCUUUAUUUAAGACGAGUGUAUCGAUUGCUUAAUCUGGAUCUGUUGCUACUGCUUAUCAAAAUUGUAAAUUAUUAUGAUAAUUAGACAAUAAAGGAGGCUUUUUAUUGGUGGAAAAUGUAAAUCACUUGAUUUUGUAGUUUCCUUUUGUAACUUCACUAACCGAUCUUUGAGUACUGGCCUGAGUGCAGACCCCGCAGAGAGACUUUACGAUUAAGAAUUUUUUAUUAGAGAUUUAUAAUGAAAAUGUCAGGAACCUGCUGAACACAGAAUCAGAAAGGUGCUGUGGUCGAGAAGUUGGUAGAAGAAACAACAACCAAUGAUCAGCAUUUGAGGCAUCUUAUAAGUAUGUGUGACUAGUGAAGAACUGUAUCUUUGCGUUGGCCUUUCUGAAAUCAUCCAUGAUUUUCAGAAUUUUGUAGACCUUGCUGGAAGUGAAAGAGCUUCACAGACACAUGCAGAUGGGGCGAGGCUCAGAGAAGGCGAUCAUAUCAAUCUUAAUUUGAUAACUCUCACAACUGUGAUAAGAAAGCUCAGGUCAGACUUGAAUAUUAGCAUACUUUUUUAUUGUCAAGUUUUAUCUCACAUCUUUCUUUUUUCUCCAACUUUUACAUGUAGAAUAUAUCCUUCGUCGUACGAUACUUGCAUGUUGUAAUGGAUUCUAAGAUAACACCUAAGUGCUACUGUCAGAGCCAUCUAAGCAAGUUCAAUAAGUACUUGCGAAAAGAAGCGGUCAUAUACCCCACCGGGACUCCAGCUUCCCGACAAGUUUUGGAAAAUGAGAUUGAAAACAGAGAACUAGAAAAUGAAGACUUCAUUUCAUAUCAGGCGAGACACAGCCAGAGUCUAUGAAAGAUACUUCUACAAUAUGUGGAGACGUUUAAUCAAAGGAAGGAACUCCAGGCUAUCGUCAUUCUAUUUCAGGUAAUAUGAAGAAAAUGCAGAAGAUGGUUGAGAAUGCAGCAGAGGUGACUGUGAGAAGCAUAAGAGCUUAUGUGACAUAAUUGAAGGAACAUGUUGCCAAACUGCAAUACCAAAAGCAGCUACUUGUUUGCUAGGUAUAGUAUUUGCACUACCAACAGACCCUGGAUUAUAGGGUGGAAUCCAAUUUCAAACCUUCUACAUUGUGACAAUUGCAUUUUUCAUUUGUAAGUAUUUCCUAUUUCUGUACAAGUAAAUGAAUUUUAGAGGUUUUUGCUCAAAUUAUGGUGUGACCAAUGCGCAUGAAGGGAGAGGGUCUCGAUAUGGCAAUCUUAAUAUUUUAAUAACAAAAGAAUUGAUU